GGAGAGGUGACCGAGUUGGCCGAAGGUGCACGACUGGAAAUCGUGUGUACGUCAAAAGCGUACCAGGGGUUCGAAUCCCCUCCUCUCCGCCA
RNAcentral lists this transfer RNA (92 nucleotides) under Candidatus Alcyoniella australis. Its description in RNAcentral is "tRNA-Ser". It matches the Rfam family "tRNA". Rfam says of the family: Transfer RNA (tRNA) molecules are approximately 80 nucleotides in length. Their secondary structure includes four short double-helical elements and three loops (D, anti-codon, and T loops). Further hydrogen bonds mediate the characteristic L-shaped molecular structure. tRNAs have two regions of fundamental functional importance: the anti-codon, which is responsible for specific mRNA codon recognition, and the 3' end, to which the tRNAs corresponding amino acid is attached (by aminoacyl-tRNA synthetases). tRNAs cope with the degeneracy of the genetic code in two manners: having more than one tRNA (with a specific anti-codon) for a particular amino acid; and 'wobble' base-pairing, i.e. permitting non-standard base-pairing at the 3rd anti-codon position. Lineage: Bacteria; Candidatus Lernaellota; Candidatus Lernaellaia; Candidatus Lernaellales; Candidatus Alcyoniellaceae. The record is from RNAcentral.